RNAcentral lists this ribosomal RNA (388 nucleotides) under uncultured Chrysophyceae. Its description in RNAcentral is "partial small subunit ribosomal RNA". It matches the Rfam family "Eukaryotic small subunit ribosomal RNA", at positions 30 to 432 of the family's 1831-position model. Lineage: Eukaryota; Chrysophyceae. The record is from RNAcentral.
GCUUGUCUCAAAGAUUAAGCCAUGCAUGUCUCAGCAUAAGCUUCAACACGGUGAAACUGCAAAUGGCUCAUUAAAGCAGUUACAAUUUAUUUGAUGGUCACUGUUACAUGGAUAACUGUGGUAAUUCUAGAGCUAAUACAUGCAUAAAACCCUAACUUCUGGAAAGGGUGUAUUUAUUAGAUGGAAACCAAUGCGGGGUAACCCGGAAUAUGGUGAUUCAUAAUAACUUUCGGAUCGAUUUAUCGAUGCAUCAUUCAAGUUUCUGCCCUAUCAGCUUUGGAUGGUAGGGUAUUGGCCUACCAUGGCUUUAACGGGUAACGGAGAAUUAGGGUUCGAUUCCGGAGAGGGAGCCUGAGAAACGGCUACCACAUCCAAGGAAGGCAGCAGG